RNAcentral lists this ribosomal RNA (497 nucleotides) under uncultured bacterium. RNAcentral describes it as "partial 16S ribosomal RNA". It matches the Rfam family "Bacterial small subunit ribosomal RNA", at positions 30 to 523 of the family's 1533-position model. The record is from RNAcentral.
AUUGAACGCUGGCGGCAUGCUUUACACAUGCAAGUCGAACGGUAACAGGCCGCAAGGUGCUGACGAGUGGCGAACGGGUGAGUAAUGCAUCGGAACGUGCCCAGUCGUGGGGGAUAACUAUCCGAAAGGAUAGCUAAUACCGCAUACGAUCUGCGGAUGAAAGCGGGGGACCUUCGGGCCUCGCGCGAUUGGAGCGGCCGAUGUCAGAUUAGGUAGUUGGUGGGGUAAAGGCUCACCAAGCCAGCGAUCUGUAGCUGUCUGAGAGGACGACCAGCCACACCGGGACUGAGACACGGCCCAGACUCCUACGGGAGGCAGCAGUGGGGAAUUUUGGACAAUGGGCGCAAGCCUGAUCCAGCAAUGCCGCGUGCAGGAAGAAGGCCUUCGGGUUGUAAACUGCUUUUGUACGGAACGAAACGGCUCUGGUUAAUACCUGGGGCUAAUGACGGUACCGUAAGAAUAAGCACCGGCUAACUACGUGCCAGCCGCCGCAGUAA